RNAcentral lists this ribosomal RNA (254 nucleotides) under uncultured bacterium. RNAcentral's name for it is "partial 16S ribosomal RNA". It matches the Rfam family "Bacterial small subunit ribosomal RNA", at positions 524 to 776 of the family's 1533-position model. The record is from RNAcentral.
UACAGAGGUGGCAAGCGUUGUUCGGAAUUACUGGGCGUAAAGGGCGCGUAGGCGGCACGGCAAGUCAGGAGUGAAAGCCCUGGGCUCAACCCAGAAACUGCUUUCGAAACUGCCGAGCUAGAGUGCGGAAGGGGCAACUGGAAUUCCCAGUGUAGCGGUGAAAUGCGUAGAUAUUGGGAAGAACACCUGAGGCGAAGGCGGGUUGCUGGGCCGACACCGACGCUGAGUGCGCGAAAGCCAGGGGAGCGAACGGG